RNAcentral lists this ribosomal RNA (475 nucleotides) under uncultured bacterium. Its description in RNAcentral is "bacterial SSU rRNA". It matches the Rfam family "Bacterial small subunit ribosomal RNA", at positions 26 to 518 of the family's 1533-position model. The record is from RNAcentral.
AGGACGAACGCUGGCGGCGUGCUUAACACAUGCAAGUCGAGCGAUGAAGCUCUUCGGAAGUGGAUUAGCGGCGGACGGGUGAGUAACACGUGGGUAACCUGCCUCAUAGAGGGGAAUAGCCUUCCGAAAGGAAGAUUAAUACCGCAUAAGAUUGUAAUAUCGCAUGAUAUAGCAAUUAAAGGAGUAAUCCGCUAUGAGAUGGACCCGCGUCGCAUUAGCUAGUUGGUGAGGUAACGGCUCACCAAGGCGACGAUGCGUAGCCGACCUGAGAGGGUGAUCGGCCACAUUGGGACUGAGACACGGCCCAGACUCCUACGGGAGGCAGCAGUGGGGAAUAUUGCACAAUGGGGGAAACCCUGAUGCCAGCAACGCCGCGUGAGUGAUGACGGUCUUCGGAUUGUAAAGCUCUGUCUUUAGGGACGAUAAUGACGGUACCUAAGGAGGAAGCCACGGCUAACUACGUGCCAGCCGCAGC